UCCAGAGUGUAAUUCAGCUGCAGUCUACUCAGCAGUGAGAGGAGCAGGAGACGUCAGUUAUGGACAAAUAGUCAUCAGACCACAAAGGACGAGAGGUGCAGAUGCUCUUUGGACAGAGACAGGCUACCUGUUUCCCCCUGCUUCCAGUCGUUAUGCUAAGCUAAGCUAACCACGACUUGACUACAGAGUGUUUCUAAAACAUUGAACAAUUGAACUAUUCCUUUCAAAGAGAUGUGGGUAAUAGGAAGUUCAGACGGACUAAACGUGAGGACCUCUAAACCAGUCAGGUGAAGGCUCAGGAGGGCCGCUUACAUUUCUAUUAGCAAGUUGACAUUUUUUGUAUAAAUCAGCAAAUUCACUUUACGGAGUAGUUUUCCCAAAAUGGUUAUGAAUCAUGGCAUGUUGAUCUCCACAGACAAUACACUGACAUUAGUGAUGAAAUAAAUUCACAACACGUUACCAGACUGUUAAGACAUCUAAGGGGAUAGAAAGGAGCUCAGCUGAAAGAUUGUUGAUAUUUGAACCCGCCAAACAAACUCCCUUCACUCCCUCAGAAGCUCCGCCCUCCAAAUUCAUGGACUGGCAUUGCAACGGCGACUAUAGGGGAGAGCCCGGACGAAUGAAACACUUUUUAGAUAAACUUCAUUUUAAAAGAUGACGUUACAGACAGAAAUAAUUUUUGUUGUGAUCAGCAACUCCCGUGUGUUUUCUAUCAAUACCAGGAGCUAUUUUGUACAAACGUGGAACGACAUCAGUGGCCCCGUGUCUCCUGAUAAGCUCUAGUGUGAAGAAGACAAACCACAUGACCAAUUUUAUAAAUGAAGGAGAGAAACCGUCACUACCCUCCCCUUCAAAGAGGAAGGAAGAGAGUUUAACUGGACGGACUGAGUGGUGGUGCAAUGGAACAGACAUCUUUUCUGCUCUUGCUGAUCUCUCUGCUGAGCUGCAGGACCAGCGGAGGUGAGUGAACUCUGACAGUCAAAAGCUGUUCGCAUAACGCUUUCUGGUUAAAACUAAUACAAAAUGUGUGUUCUGUAAAGUGUUUGGACACAAACACAAAAAGAGAGAAUGUUUUAAUACUAACUAAACAAAUGACCAAGAUUAUUUACAACCACUACACAAAAACAGACUUGAAGCUACCAAAAAGAAAGAAAGUCUCUAAAAACAAGGACAAGUUGACCAGGAUACAAGUUCAAUCAGA
This is a long non-coding RNA of Micropterus salmoides (largemouth bass), 1201 nucleotides long. RefSeq lists it as uncharacterized. The transcript is spliced from 3 exons. NCBI's taxonomy places the organism in Eukaryota, Metazoa, Chordata, Actinopteri, Centrarchiformes, Centrarchidae. The record is from RefSeq and is a predicted model, not a curated record.